GACGAACGCUGGCGGCGUGCUUAACACAUGCAAGUGGAGCGACGAACCGGGGCUUGCCCCGGGGCAGAGCCGCGAACGGGUGAGUAACACGUGGGUAACCCACCCCGAUGACCGGGACAACCCGAGGAAACUCGGGCUAAUACCGGAUGAGCGCCCAGACCAUGAGGUCUUGGCGGAAAGAUAGCUUCGGCCUUCGCAUCGGGACGGGCCCGCGGCCCAUUAGCUUGUUGGUGGGGUAACGGCCUACCAAGGCGACGAUGGGUAGCUGGUCUGAGAGGACGAUCAGCCACACUGGGACUGAGACACGGCCCAGACUCCUACGGGAGGCAGCAGUGGGGAAUCUUGCGCAAUGCGCGAAAGCGUGACGCAGCAACGCCGCGUGGGGGAAGAAGGCCUUCGGGUUGUAAACCCCUUUCAGUUGGGACGAAGCUUCGUCGGUGAAUAGCCGGCCGGAGUGACGGUACCUUCACAAGAAGCCCCGGCUAACUACGUGCCAGCAGCCGCAGUAAAAC
RNAcentral lists this ribosomal RNA (512 nucleotides) under uncultured bacterium. RNAcentral's name for it is "bacterial SSU rRNA". It matches the Rfam family "Bacterial small subunit ribosomal RNA", at positions 28 to 526 of the family's 1533-position model. The record is from RNAcentral.